This 253-nucleotide ribosomal RNA is filed under the name uncultured bacterium. RNAcentral's name for it is "partial 16S ribosomal RNA". It matches the Rfam family "Bacterial small subunit ribosomal RNA", at positions 524 to 776 of the family's 1533-position model. The record is from RNAcentral.
UACGUAGGUGGUAAGCGUUGUCCGGAUUUACUGGGCGUAAAGAGCGCGCAGGCGGUCGAUUUAGUCGCGUGUGAAAGCCCCCGGCUCAACUGGGGAGGGUCACGCGAUACUGAUCGACUCGAAGGCAGGAGAGGGUAGUGGAAUUCCCGGUGUAGUGGUGAAAUGCGUAGAUAUCGGGAGGAACACCAGUGGCGAAGGCGACUACCUGGCCUGUUCUUGACGCUGAGGCGCGAAAGCUAGGGGAGCAAACGGG